Molecule: ribosomal RNA, 436 nt
Filed under: uncultured bacterium
Lineage: Bacteria
Description: bacterial SSU rRNA
Rfam family: Bacterial small subunit ribosomal RNA
Source: RNAcentral
UCAGAACGACGCUGGCGGCAUGCCUAACACAUGCAAGUCGAACGAGACCUUCGGGGUCUAGUGGCGCACGGGUGCGUAACGCGUGGGAAUCUGCCCUGGGGUGCGGAAUAACUCGGAGAAAUCCGUGCUAAUACCGCAUAAUGUCUUCGGACCAAAGAUUUAUCGCCCUGGGAUGAGCCCGCGUAGGAUUAGCUAGUUGGUGGGGUAAAGGCCUACCAAGGCGACGAUCCUUAGCUGGUCUGAGAGGAUGAUCAGCCACACUGGGACUGAGACACGGCCCAGACUCCUACGGGAGGCAGCAGUGGGGAAUAUUGGACAAUGGCGAAAGCCUGAUCCAGCAAUGCCGCGUGAGUGAUGAAGGCCCUAGGGUUGUAAAGCUCUUUUACCCGGGAUGAUAAUGACAGUACCGGGAGAAUAAGCUCCGGCUAACUCCGUG